This 1329-nucleotide long non-coding RNA is filed under the name Equus caballus (horse). RNAcentral's name for it is "lncRNA (ENSECAG00000048604.1)". The record is from RNAcentral. Lineage: Eukaryota; Metazoa; Chordata; Mammalia; Perissodactyla; Equidae.
CCAGAAUCAAUCUAAAAUGUAAUGUCUCCCAUCUUCCCGAGUGGCUGCUUUCACAACAUAUAGCUAAUGGUGCCCAUUACAGCAGCAGAGACAAAGACAGCCAGCAGUAAAUCUUUCUCUUUUUUACAGUUGGCUCUGGUUUAGGAAGAUUUACUUUUAUAACAGCUAUGGAGACUUCCACCUUAUCAACCUCUACUCAUUUAAUACCUUUCUCCCAAAUCUUUUUUACAGUCUUUCACAGUAAUGACAGGUCCUAAGGGUCAGAACUAGAAGUACUUUCUUUGUGAGUCUCAAAGAGUUUGAUUUUGAUAAAUUACUUUUAUUGUCUUAGCUCAGUUUUGGAAUAUCCUUGAUUUUACUUUGAAAAGUUUUCACAGUGUGGAUUCUGGUGGAGCUUGGGCAGUAUAGAAGAGGGAUGAAAAGGUGGAAACCAAGCAGAAGAGAGGCCGCACUUUUUAUUGCAUUUUGAAGUAUGCUUUAUGGAUUUGGGACAUGCUUUGUUGGUCUAGUGUCCUGGAAAGAUAAUUGAAUCAUCCUUCUCAAUGGACCAGGCUUCUUCACGUGAGGACAGAAGUAUUCCAAGAGGAUGAGGCCAAAGCUCAGAAGUCACAUGAUGUCACUUCCAGAAUAUUCUAUUGUAUCAAAGCAAGCCACAAGGCCAGCCCAGCCUCAUAAAAUAGGGAAGUGGAUUCUGCCUCAUCAUAAAAGGAACUACAAAGAAUUUGAGGUCAUGUUUACAAAACCACAAGGGACAAAAGGACUUCAGCUGAGAGAACCUGCAAGCAAAUCACAAAAUUCUCAAAAGCCAAAGGCACUCAUAAGCUAUAAGUCAGAGGGGAGCUCAUCCACCUGAAUCAGGAAAAUGGAUUUUCAGUGUCCCCAAUAAUGGCAGAGUGCUCCAAGAACCAAUGUCAACAGGCAGAGAAACGUCAACCAAACUCAGAAUCCAAAAAACGUCCCUUCUCCCCUUUCCCAGCUGUCAUUCUCCUGCUUCAGUGGGGCUGGGAAAUUCAGUAAAAUGGGAGAGGAAGCGUGGAAACAAAAGCUGAGGAAGAGAAAAAAGAAGCAAGCCCUCUUCUUAAACUUUCUAUCUGCAAAAGACCCCAGCUGGGGAGAAAUUUAAAUUUAAAUCAGUUUGAAAGUUGGAUUAUAGCAUGGUACUAACUAUGUUUAAUUACAGAAUAAUAGCUAUGUUUGAAACUUAAAAUGACCAGAUUUGUUUCUCCAAGGAGAGGACUGAAAAUACACGGACCUGUCUGAAUUUUCAUUCAUGAGAUGGAAUAAUUGCCUCUACCAAAUAAAUAUUAAAGGGGAGAUGAAGGACAAAAA